CGGCGGACGGGUGAGUAACACGUGGGUAACCUACCUAUAAGACUGGGACAACUUCGGGAAACCGGAGCUAAUACCGGAUAAGAUAUCGAACCGCAUGGUUCGAUAGUGAAAGAUGGUUUUGCUACCACUUAUAGAUGGACCCGCGCCGUAUUAGCUAGUUGGUGAGGUAACGGCUCACCAAGGCAACGAUACGUAGCCGACCUGAGAGGGUGAUCGGCCACACUGGAACUGAGACACGGUCCAGACUCCUACGGGAGGCAGCAGGA
This 266-nucleotide ribosomal RNA is filed under the name uncultured Staphylococcus sp. RNAcentral describes it as "partial 16S ribosomal RNA". It matches the Rfam family "Bacterial small subunit ribosomal RNA", at positions 96 to 354 of the family's 1533-position model. The record is from RNAcentral. Lineage: Bacteria; Bacillati; Bacillota; Bacilli; Caryophanales; Staphylococcaceae.